Small nucleolar RNA from Physeter macrocephalus (sperm whale), 81 nucleotides. Its record names the gene SNORD115. It matches the Rfam family "Small nucleolar RNA SNORD115". From Rfam's summary of the family: HBII-52 is a member of the C/D class of snoRNAs, which contain the C (UGAUGA) and D (CUGA) box motifs. HBII-52 is encoded in a tandemly repeated array with another C/D snoRNA, HBII-85, in the Prader-Willi syndrome (PWS) region of chromosome 15. Lineage: Eukaryota; Metazoa; Chordata; Mammalia; Artiodactyla; Physeteridae. The record is from Ensembl.
GGGUCAAUGAUGAGACCUCAUAUGGACCUGAAGAGACAUUAUGACUUAACAAUCAUGCUCAGUAGGAUUAUGCUGAGGCCC